GGGCCCGCACAAGCGGAGGAACAUGUGGUUUAAUUCGAUGAUACGCGAGGAACCUUACCCGGGCUCGAACGGCUAUAGAAUACAGGUGAAAGCUUGUAGCCAGCAAUGGCUGUAGUCGAGGUGCUGCAUGGUUGUCGUCAGCUCGUGCCGUGAGGUGUCGGCUUAAGUGCCAUAACGAGCGCAACCCUUACCGUUAGUUACCAUCAGGUCAAGCUGGGGACUCUAACGGGACUGCCGCCGUAAGGUGAGAGGAAGGUGGGGAUGACGUCAAAUCAGCACGGCCCUUACGUCCGGGGCUACACACGUGUUACAAUGGGUGGGACAGAAGGCUGCUACCUGGCAACAGGAUGCUAAUCCUUUAAACCCACUCCCAGUUCGGAUCGGAGUCUGCAACUCGACUCCGUGAAGCUGGAUUCGCUAGUAAUCGCGCAUCAGCCAUGGCGCGGUGAAUACG
Molecule: ribosomal RNA, 454 nt
Filed under: uncultured Bacteroidales bacterium
Lineage: Bacteria; Pseudomonadati; Bacteroidota; Bacteroidia; Bacteroidales
Description: bacterial SSU rRNA
Rfam family: Bacterial small subunit ribosomal RNA
Source: RNAcentral